GAGUUUGAUCCUGGCUCAGGACGAACGCUGGCGGCGUGCUUAACACAUGCAAGUCGAACGGUGAUCCCCUUCGGGGGUGAUCAGUGGCGAACGGGUGAGUAACACGUGAGCAACCUGCCCCUGACUCUGGGAUAACCCCGGGAAACCGGAGCUAAUACCGGAUAUGACGCGCUCGGGCAUCCGAUGCGUGUGGAAAGAUUUAUCGGUCAGGGAUGGGCUCGCGGCCUAUCAGCUUGUUGGUGGGGUAAUGGCCUACCAAGGCGACGACGGGUAGCCGGCCUGAGAGGGCGACCGGCCACACUGGGACUGAGACACGGCCCAGACUCCUACGGGAGGCAGCAGUGGGGAAUAUUGCGCAAUGGGCGAAAGCCUGACGCAGCGACGCCGCGUGAGGGAUGAAGGCCUUCGGGUUGUAAACCUCUUUCAGCAGGGACGAAGCGCAAGUGACGGUACCUGCAGAAGAAGCGCCGGCUAACUACGUGCCAGCAGCCGCGGUAAUGCCCA
This 504-nucleotide ribosomal RNA is filed under the name uncultured bacterium. Its description in RNAcentral is "bacterial SSU rRNA". It matches the Rfam family "Bacterial small subunit ribosomal RNA", at positions 9 to 529 of the family's 1533-position model. The record is from RNAcentral.